Molecule: ribosomal RNA, 354 nt
Filed under: Astraeus hygrometricus
Lineage: Eukaryota; Fungi; Basidiomycota; Agaricomycetes; Boletales; Astraeaceae
Description: eukaryotic LSU rRNA
Rfam family: 5.8S ribosomal RNA (bases 1-106)
Source: RNAcentral
GAAUCGCGAUAAGUAAUGUGAAUUGCAGAUUUUCCGUGAAUCAUCGAAUCUUUGAACGCACCUUGCGCUCCUCGGUAUUCCGAGGAGCAUGCCUGUUUGAGUGUCAUCGAAAUCUCAAAUCCCGGUCCGGGGGUUUGGACUUUGGGAGUCUGCCGGCGACCCGACCUCGGGACGUCGGCUCUCCUCAAAUGCAUUAGCGGUGGGCGCGAGCCUUUGCACGGCACGGCCUGUUUUCGACGUCGUAGUGAUCGUCGCGGGCUGGAAGUGCUCGGAUCGACAUGUCUCAUGCUUCCAAGCUAGUAUAAAUGAUUAAGGCUUGACCUCAAAUCAGGCAGGACUACCCGCUGAACUUAA